UGCACCCUGCUCUAGGAGGAGAAGGUGGAUGUGGAGUAGGAGGUUGAGGAGGCGGUGAUUGUGGUGGCAACGACGCAUUCGGUUGUCUGCCCUAUCAACUUUCGAUGUUACUUUCUGCGCCUACCAUGGUGACCAUGGGUAACGGGGAAUCAGGGUUCGAUUCUGGAGAGGGAGUCUGAGAAACGGCUAUUACAUCCAAGGAAGGCAGCA
Non-coding RNA from Pelobates cultripes (western spadefoot toad), 210 nucleotides. The record is from the annotation of a GenBank genome assembly. Lineage: Eukaryota; Metazoa; Chordata; Amphibia; Anura; Pelobatidae.